This 399-nucleotide ribosomal RNA is filed under the name uncultured bacterium. RNAcentral describes it as "bacterial SSU rRNA". It matches the Rfam family "Bacterial small subunit ribosomal RNA", at positions 987 to 1382 of the family's 1533-position model. The record is from RNAcentral.
UGACAGAGAACUUUCCAGAGAGUGGAUUGGUGCCUUCGGGAACGUCUGACACAGGUGCUGCAUGGCUGUCGUCAGCUCGUGUCGUGAGGAUGGUUGGGUUAACGUCCGUAACGAGCGCAACCCCUAUCUUUAGUUGCCAUCAGUUCGGCUGGGCACUCUAUGGAGACUGCCACCUAAAGUGGAGGAAGGUGGGGAUGACGUCAAGUCAGCAUGGCCCUUACGUCCGGGGCUACACACGUGCUACAAUGGCCGGUACAAAGGGUUGCGAAGCCGUGAGGUGGAGCGAAUCUCAAAAAGCCGGCCUCAGUUCGGAUUGGAGGCUGCAACUCGCCUCCAUGAAGUCGGAAUCGCUAGUAACCGCAGAUCAGCUACGUUGCGGUGAAUACGUUCCCGGGCCUU